AGAGUUUGAUCAUGGCUCAGAUUGAACGCUGGCGGCAUGCCUUACACAUGCAAGUCGAACGGCAGCGCGGGAGCAAUCCUGGCGGCGAGUGGCGAACGGGUGAGUAAUACAUCGGAACGUGCCCAAUCGUGGGGGAUAACGCAGCGAAAGCUGUGCUAAUACCGCAUACGAUCUACGGAUGAAAGCAGGGGAUCGCAAGACCUUGCGCGAAUGGAGCGGCCGAUGGCAGAUUAGGUAGUUGGUGAGGUAAAGGCUCACCAAGCCUUCGAUCUGUAGCUGGUCUGAGAGGACGACCAGCCACACUGGGACUGAGACACGGCCCAGACUCCUACGGGAGGCAGCAGUGGGGAAUUUUGGACAAUGGGCGCAAGCCUGAUCCAGCCAUGCCGCGUGCAGGAUGAAGGCCUUCGGGUUGUAAACUGCUUUUGUACGGAACGAAACGGCCUUUUCUAAUAAAGAGGGCUAAUGACGGUCCGUAAGAAUAAGCACCGGSUAACUACUGCCAGCAGCCGCGGUAAUACGUAGGGUGCAAGCGUUAAUCGGAAUUACUGGGCGUAAAGCGUGCGCAGGCGGUGAUGUAAGACAGUUGUGAAAUCCCCGGGCUCAACCUGGGAACUGCAUCUGUGACUGCAUCGCUGGAGUCCGUAGAGGGGGAUGGAAUUCCGCGUGUACCAGUGAAAUGCGUAGAUAUGCGGAGGAACACCGAUGG
RNAcentral lists this ribosomal RNA (709 nucleotides) under uncultured marine bacterium. RNAcentral describes it as "bacterial SSU rRNA". It matches the Rfam family "Bacterial small subunit ribosomal RNA", at positions 8 to 715 of the family's 1533-position model. The record is from RNAcentral.